RNAcentral lists this ribosomal RNA (229 nucleotides) under uncultured bacterium. RNAcentral's name for it is "partial 16S ribosomal RNA". It matches the Rfam family "Bacterial small subunit ribosomal RNA", at positions 568 to 796 of the family's 1533-position model. The record is from RNAcentral.
UACGUAGGCGGGAAAUUAAGUCAGUAGUGAAAUCCCACAGCUUAACUGUGGAACUGUUAUUGAUACUGGUUUUCUUGAAUAUAGUUGAGGUAGGCGGAAUGUGUAAUGUAGCGGUGAAAUGCUUAGAUAUUACACAGGACACCGAUUGCGAAGGCAGCUUACUAAGCUAUGAUUGACGCUGAGGUACGAAAGCGUGGGGAGCGAACAGGAUUAGAUACCCUGGUAGUCC